Molecule: ribosomal RNA, 279 nt
Filed under: uncultured bacterium
Lineage: Bacteria
Description: partial 16S ribosomal RNA
Rfam family: Bacterial small subunit ribosomal RNA
Source: RNAcentral
UGCCAGCCGCCGCGGUAAUAAGUGGGGAGCCAGCGUUGUCCGGAAUUACUGGGCGUAAAGGGCGUGUAGGCGGGUUGGUAAGUCAGAUGUGAAAGCCCACGGCUCAACCGUGGAGAGUCAUCCGAUACUGCUUACCUUGAGUACGGGAGAGGAAAGUGGAAUUCCGAGUGUAGGGGUGAAAUCCGUAGAUAUUCGGAGGAACACCAGUGGCGAAGGCGGCUUUCUGGACCGAUACUGACGCUGAGACGCGAAAGCGUGGGGAGCAAACCGGAUUAGAUA